UACGUAGGGACCGAGCGUUGUCCGGAAUCAUUGGGCGUAAAGAGCGUGUAGGCGGCCACUUAAGUCCUGCGUGAAAUCUUGCGGCUCAACCGCAAGCGGUCGUGGGAAACUGGGUGGCUAGAGUGCGGGAGAGGAGAGUGGAAUUCCUGGUGUAGCGGUGGAAUGCGCAGAUAUCAGGAGGAACACCCGUAGCGAAGGCGGCACUCUGGGCCGAUACUGACACUGAGGAGCGAAAGCGUGGGGAGCGAACAGG
RNAcentral lists this ribosomal RNA (253 nucleotides) under uncultured bacterium. Its description in RNAcentral is "partial 16S ribosomal RNA". It matches the Rfam family "Bacterial small subunit ribosomal RNA", at positions 524 to 776 of the family's 1533-position model. The record is from RNAcentral.